This 884-nucleotide long non-coding RNA is filed under the name Phoenix dactylifera (date palm). RNAcentral's name for it is "long non-coding RNA (PDAC_LNC016776)". Lineage: Eukaryota; Viridiplantae; Streptophyta; Magnoliopsida; Arecales; Arecaceae. The record is from RNAcentral.
ACUGGUUUAUCGACCUCCAUAAUAUACAAUGUCGCAUGCGAUUUGUAAGCAACAAUCAACGUAUACACAAUUUUCUUUUUCCUAUAAAAAAUAAGGGUUGAAAGGCACCAUAGGUUUUGUGGAGUCAAAACCAGGUGUCCGUUACAACCACCAUUGUUUCACUAGAUAAAUGGGACAGUCAGAUGCGAGGAGUUUCAGACAAGGAUAUAUCCCAGCAAUUUGUGGAAGAUGUACAUGAAAAAACAUAAUAUAGUCAGCACAAACAAAUGAGCUGGCGAUACAGAGAUAAGCUGGCAUCAUGAAGACCAACUGAAUACACGCCAUCUAUAUUUAUUGUCUUCAUCGCUUGUAUGAAUUGAAUGGUUCUUGCUCCCUCCAAUGCUGGGACAGCAGCGGAGCUCCUGAUCUCGUAUUAGAGCAUCAUCUCUGUACAUAGGAUUUAUGUACUUGGGAUGUUGCAAGAAAGGGACAUUUUUCCACCAAAGCUUGAGGGCCUAAAGAAAUGCACAAAAGAGAAAUGAGAACGCUUGAUCUAAGUAGAUAACCAUAAAACGGGUUUCAGUAAUGCCGAAGGAAUCAAAAGUUGCAGCCACCUUGCUUUCAUGAAAGAUUUGAUGCAUAAACUUCUAGGUGCAUGGUGUUCGAUCAAUGCCAGAAUGAUCUUCUAGAUCUUCUAAAGAAGCAUAAUGAACCAAGAUGCAUUCAUUUGUUUGGACAGGUCAAUAAUUAGAGCAAAAAACUUUGGAAAACAUGGAUUAACUUUGCAAAGAAAGAUUUACAAAACCCACAAGGACAGAUGUCCUUUUUUGUUGAAAAAUGAUAGACAUAUCCCUAAAAUGGACCCAAGGGCGUGGAGACAAAUAAGAUUCUCAUCUGCUUUAGUG